AUGCUUCCUCCAUACAUAGUAAAAUUAGAACAAUACAGAGAAAAUUAGCUAGGCCACUGCACAAGGAUAACAUGCAAAUUUGUGAAGCAUUCCAUAUUAAA
This 101-nucleotide small nuclear RNA is filed under the name Erinaceus europaeus (western European hedgehog). The record is from RNAcentral. Lineage: Eukaryota; Metazoa; Chordata; Mammalia; Eulipotyphla; Erinaceidae.